Molecule: long non-coding RNA, 12669 nt
Filed under: Triticum aestivum (bread wheat)
Lineage: Eukaryota; Viridiplantae; Streptophyta; Magnoliopsida; Poales; Poaceae
Description: long non-coding RNA (TAES_LNC008021)
Source: RNAcentral
AAGAUUUCAUAAAGAGAGUUACUAUGGAAGUCAGAUACGAGUACUGCUCCCAUUGCUGAACUAACUCAAGUUUUUCUUUUUUUCUCAACAAGCAUAUUAAAUAACUAGUCCUUUGAUACAACGCUAGAGGCAAAGGUGUAAGGGCAUAUUUAUCCCCAAGAUGUUUUGGUGAUUGAUGACAAUGCUUGUGCGGACUAAUCGUGUGUGUUAAAUUCUUUCAGAGAUUCAUCCUUUGGCACGAGACGAUUAUCUCCCCUCGGUGUUUUAUUCAAGACGGUGUAGCUCCUUCGUUUCGUUGUUGGUGGACUAGUUUCGUAGGAGUCACCGUACUAUCAAGAGGGGAUCCGCUUUGGUAAGGCUAUGGUGGAAUCAACACGUACACAUCCAUUUCACACCCGUCAUUUUCCUUCCGCUUCAUUGGAGCUGCCUUUUCCCCCUGAGUAUGCUUUGUCCUGCCCCAGUGGUAAUACCGCGGUCCACAGCGGUAGUACCGCCGAAGCACCCCAGCGGUAGUACCACUCCCAGAGCGGUAGUACCACUCCCAAGCGGUAGUACCGCUCUCCGAGCGGUAGUACCGCUUGUGGUCUUCGGCCGUAGUACCGCAGUGUUCCGGGCUACUGCCGCCUCGAUUCGAGAAUGAUGUUUUUCGUGUCGGUUUUUGCGGUACUAAGUGCGGUAGUAGUGGCGGUAGUACCGCGCCUACCCCCACGGUAGUACCGCCCUGGGGUCAGGACCCUGUCAGCGCGGCAGUACCGCUGGGUAAGAGCGGUAGUACCGCCCUGAGCGGUAGUACCGCCCUGCCCAAGCGGUAGUACCGCUCUGUGCGGGGCUGCUCAGUGGGAUAACGGUUGGAUUGGUUCCCCCACUAUAUAAAAGUGUCUUCUUCCCCAAAGUUGACCUACCUCUUUCCCCCAAAUCUCCAUUGUUGCUCCAAGCUCCAUUUUCGCCUGAUCUCUCUCCCUAGCCAAUCAAACUUGUUGAUUUGCUCGGGAUUGGUUGAGAAGGCCCAGAUCUACACUUCCACCAAGAGAAAUUUGAUUCCCCCCACUUAUCCCUAGCGGAUCUUGUUACUCUUGGGUGUUGAGCAUCCUAGACGGUUGAGGUCACCUCGAAGCCAUACUCCAUUGUGGUGAAGCUUCAUGGUGUUGUUGGGAGCCUCCAAGUGUUGUGGAGAUAGCCCCAAUCUUGUUUGUAAUGGUUCGGUCGUCGCCUUCAAGGGCACCAAUAGUGGAAUCACGGCAUCUCGCAUUGUGUGAGGGCGUGAGGAGAUUACGGUGGACCUAGUGGCUUCUUGGGGAGCAUUGUGCCUCCACACCGCUCUAACGGAGAUGUACUUCCCUUUAAAAGGAAGGAACUUCGGUAACACAUCCUCAUCUCCACCGGCUAUACUCUUGGUUAUCUUGUGCCUCUACUUUUGCAAGCUUACUUGUGUUGUAUCUAUUACUUGCUAGUGUGCUAGUUGUCUUUGCAUCAUAUAGGUUGUCCACGUAGUUGCACAUCUAGACAACCUAUUUUGUUGCAAGGUUUAAAUUGUUAAAGAAAAGCCUAAAAAUUGUUAGUUGCCUAUUCACCCCCCCUCUAGUCAACCAUAUCGAUCCUUUCAAUUGGUAUCAGAGCCUCGUCUCUUUAUUAAGGACUUUGUCAUCCGAAGAGUAUGGUUGACACAAACAACGGUGCGGAGGAGCACUCCGGUGUGAAUCCCAUCUCGUCUUCGACCGAAGGGGGAACCUCGGUCUCUCGUGAGGAAUUCAAUGUGGCUUUAGACACAUUAAAAACCUCCAUGACGGCCGAGGUUAAAAGCAUGUUUUCUGAAUUCCUAGACGGACUUAAACUAUCUACCUCGCCGAUGAAAGUGGGUGAUCCCACUAACAGGUGACGGAUGCUACCUCCGACAAGGGGGAAGCUAACAGUGAAAAGAGUCCUUCUACUAGUGGUAGAAAUGGCACCGGCAUCUUUGCCCAUGUGGAACCCCCAGUGUAUAGAGGACUGAUCCCCUCUACUCAUUUGAAUCAUGCCGGUCCUCCUCCUAAAUAUGUGAAAAAUGAAGAUUUUCAUUCUUGGGUUUAUCGCUUCAAGCGUCAUUUAAAACAUGUGAAUACUAACCUUUGGAGAAUCAUUGAAGAAGGUUUCUAUUCUCAUGACCCAAGCAACUUCACCCCUCGAGAAGAAGUGGACAAUCAAUUCAAUGAGAGUGCUCUCUUCAUCAUCCAAGAUGCAAUCCUUCCCGAAGAUCUCCCUCAUCUUCGACCUCAUGUCAUGGCUAAAGAAGCAUGGAAAUGUGUUGAGUCUCUCUAUCAAGGAAGUGCUAGCAUUCAACGCUCCAACUAUGAAGUGGUGUAAGAUGAAGCUGAUGAGUUUGCAAUGAAAGAGGAUGAAGAACCUCGUGAGCUCUUUCGAAGAGUGACCAAACUCGUGGUCGCACUCCGAGAUCAUGGGAGCAAGGACACGGAUGACAAUUGGAUCAAGCGCAAGUUCCUCAAGGCCAUGAUGCCCUACAACAAGGCCAUGUCCUCCGUCAUUCGUCAAAGACCGGACUUCCACUCCAUGACCUCAGGUGAAGUGUUGGAUGACUUUGUUGCAAUGAGCAUCUUGGACAAGACCGCCGACAAUGCGGUGCUCCGUUCUCAAAGGGCAAAGAAGCCCAAUCUUGCCUUGAAGGCCAAUGUUAGUGUGGAAGAAGAAGAAGAAGAGGAAGAUGAGGAGAGCAACCCCGAAGACACGAAGUAUGAUUAUCAUGAGCACAUGGCUCUUGCCUCAAGACAAUUUUGGAGUAAGAAGAAUACAAGACCCAACUUCAACAAGAACAACUCAAGUGGCCUCAAGGGCAAGCAACGAGUUAGAACUUGUUUCAACUGUGGCAAUGUGAGCCAUUUCGUUGCGGAUUGUCCUUACGAGAAGCGGGAAGACAAUGGUGGCAAGUUCAUCCAAAAAGACAAAGCCAAGUCCUUCCCCAACAAGAACAACUUCACCAAGAAGACUCCUACUCGCGGGUUGGUGGUUCAAGAAGAAUACCGUGAGGAUGACGACGAUGAUGAAGAUAGUGAAACAAUGGCCAUGGCAUCCGUUGCCAUUGUCACAACUCCCCGGGUGUCUCUCUUCGAUUCACCUAAUGAGAACAUCACCGCCAAGUGCCUCAUGGCUAAGGCCACCAACAAGGUAACCCCCAACAUCAAAACCACCAUUAUUCCUAACCCUCCUUCAACGGAUGACUUUGAUAAUGGUAAGGGGUCUAAUGAGGAGGUUAAUGAAUUUGAGUCCUUCAUGAGUAAGCUCAAGGGCAAAUCCAAAAAGCACUCCGUUGCUCUCUUGGAACAACUUGGUGAAGCCAAUGACAUGAUAGAGGCUCACGAAGAAACCAUCUCUAAGAUGGAAGGUCAUAGUCGUGAUUAUGCCGAUGAGAUAUCGGAUCUAUCUAAUGAUCUUGAGAAAGAGCGUGGGCAUCGUUUGGCUCUUGAGGAGUCACACAACGAUGACCAUGCCAAAUUAAAGAAAGAUCUUGAUCAUGCUCUUGUUGUGUCUCGUGUUCUAACUUCCGAGAAGGCUAAACUUGGGGUUGAUCAUGCUAGACUCAAGGAGGAGUUUGAUGUACUUGACAAGGCCCAUAAGGUAUUAAAAGGUGCUCAUGCAAACCUCAAGGAGUCUCAUGCUCAACUUCAAGCUAAGCUUACCAAGGAAAAGGCCACAUUUCCUCACAUGGUCUUAAUUGAUAAUGCAAAUGCUACUAACCCAUGUUGUGAGCAUGUGCAUCUUGUGGAGGAGAAUUCCAAGUUGAAGGAACAACUCGAGAAAGGUCUUGUGUCAUGCAUACAAGGCGAGAAGAACCUAAAUGACCUUUUGAGCAAUCAAAAGGAAGUUGUGGGCAAGGAGGGAAUUGGGUUCACGCCCAAGUCCAAGAACAAGAAGAAGAACAAGGAGAAGAAUAACAAGACCAAUCGACCUCCCCCGCUCAAGCAAACCUUUGUGAAGGAGGGAGAGGGUGAUCCUAAGGAGAAGAAUAACAAUGCGAAGAGUGGUGAUGCCAAAGAGCGCAAAGCCAUCUCUCCCAACAAAGCCGGCGACUUUAACCCCUCUUAUGUGUUCUGCCGUGCUAGUGAUGGGCAUGUUUAAGCUAAAUUUGUUGGUUCUUCUUAUGAGUACAUAGAAUGGUCUAUUUGGGUUCCUAAGACCCUUGUUACUAACAUCAAAGGACCCAUUACUCAAUGGGUACCUAAAACCAAGCAUUGAUCUCUUGUAGGUGUUUGCUUCCGGUGGGGGAUCAUGGUUGCUCGAUAGUGGAGCAACAAAUCAUAUGACCGGGAGCAAGGACUUGGUGGUGGACGUGCACAAGAUCCCAUCUAUGCCCACCAAUGUCGAAUGGGGUGAUGCCUCACAUUCUAAGGUAUUGGGUCUUGGCAAGGUUGUCAUUUCUCAUGAUCUAACGAUCGAGAAAGUCAUGCUUGUUGAGUCCCUUGUGUUCAACUUACUUUCCGUUCGUCAACUCGCACUCAUGGGCUUUGCCACCUUCUUUGAUAUUGAUACCGUGGCCCUCUUGUGGAGCAAGACUCUUAAAGUAGCCUUUGUUGGGCAUGUCGAGAAUGGUCUCUAUGUGAUUAACUUUUCGGAGCAACCCACUAAGACCGCGACAUGCCUAAUGGCUAAAGUUGAUGUGGGAUGGCUUUGGCAUCGCCGUUUAGCCCAUGUCAAUAUGAGAUCUUUGCAAAGUCUUCUCAAGGGGGACCAUGUUCAUGGACUAACGAAUUUUAGUUUUGCCAAAGAUCGUGUUUGCAGUGCUUGUAUCGAAGGAAAGCUUCAUGAGACGACUCACCCUCCCACGACUAUCAUCUAAUCGAAGAGACCCUUGGAGCUCCUGCACAUGGACCUCUCUGGGCCUCCAUCCUUUGAUAGUCUUGGGGGUAGAAAGUACUGCUUGGUGAUUGUGGAUGAUUAUUCAAGAUACACUCGGGUAUACUUCUUCAAGAGGAAGAGUGAGACUCAACAAACCGUCAUCGACUUUGCAAAUGAAGCUCAACGCCAACAUAAUGCAAAGAUCUUGACAAUAAGAAGUGACAACGACACCGAAUUCAAGAACUACACCUUGGAUGAGUUUCUCAGUGAUGAGGGGAUCAAGCACCAAUAUUCUGCACCAUACACCCCUCAAUAAAAUGGUGUUGCGGAGAGGAAGAACCGGACGUUGAUGGAUGCGUCAAGGACCAUGAUGGCGGAGUUCAAGUCUCCAUACAACUUUUGGGCCGAAGCCAUCAACACUGCAUGUCAUGCAUCCAAUCGGCUCUAUCUCCGCAAAGGCUUGAACAAGACUCCAUAUGAGAUACUCACCGGGAACAAGCCCAAUCUCAAGUACUUCCGGGUGUUCGGGUGUAAGUGUUUCAUUCUCAAGAAAGGUGUUCGUUUGUCUAAAUUCGAGGCUAGAGCUCAUGAGGGCAUUUUUGUUGGUUAUGCUACAAACUCUCAUGCUUACCGUGUUCUCAACAAGUCCAACGGACUCAUUGAGGAGACGUGUAAUGUGGAGUUUGACAAAAAUAACGGCUCCCAAGUGGAGCAAAGUGGUACUUGUGAUGUAGGUGAUGAAAUUCCUCCCCAAGCCAUAAGAAGAAUGGGUAUUGGUCAUAUUCUACCCGUUGAGGAACCCCUUGUGGCCGAAGGAGAAGGACAAUGCUCCACUCCAGUGGAGCCUUCAUCUACUCAAGACCCACACGCUUCCGAAGAACAAAGUGUAGGCCCUCAACCUCGGGAACAAGACCAAGGGCAAGAUCAAUCUCAAGAUGGUGGUGAACCUCUACAUGAUGCCCAAGGUCAAGUUCUCCCCUCCGAGCAAGUUCAAGAUCAUGAGCAAGCUCAAGAUCAAGAACAAGCUCAUGACGACGCUCAAUAUGAUCAAGUGAACCCUCCUCCUUCCUCAUCCGAGGAGGAAUUAGAGCGUCGUGCCGCGAAGAUUGCCUCCAAACUCACCACCAAAGGUCAUCUCAUGGAGAAUGUGGUUGGAAGCCUAAGAAAGGGGGUAAGCACUCGUAGACAAUUAGCAAACUAUUGUGAACAUCACACGUUUGUCUCUUGUGUUGAACCCCAUAAGGUCUAUGAGGCGCUCGAAGACUCGGAUUGGCUCAAUGCCAUGCAUGAAGAACUCAACAACUUCGAGUACAACAAGGUGUGGAGAUUGGUGGCAAGGCCUUUGGGAAACCAUAACAUCAUUGGAACCAAGUGGAUCUUCAAGAACAAGCAAGAUUCUCAUGGGAACAUCAUUCGCAACAAGGCAAGAUUGGUAGCACAAGGCUACUCCCAAGUCGAGGGUAUCGACUACGGUGAAACCUUUGCUCCCGUCGCUCACCUUGAAUCCAUUCGUUUGUUGAUUGCUUAUGCUUCCCAUCACAACUUUAAGUUGCAACAAAUGGAUGUGAAAAGUGCUUUUCUUAAUGGUCCCAUUAAUGAGUUGGUUUAUGUCAAGCAACCCCCCGGGUUCGAGGAUCCUUACUUCCCGGAUCAUGUGUAUCAACUCGAUAAGGCACUCUAUGGCCUUAAACAAGCCCCACGUGCGUGGUAUGACCACCUUACCGAGUUGUUACAAGAUCGUGGAUUUGAAGUUGGGCUAAUCGAUCCCACUCUUUUUACUAAGAAGGUCAAAGGGGAGUUGUUUGUGUGCCAACUAUAUGUUGAUGACAUUAUCUUUGGUUCUCCUAACAAAGCUUUCAAUGAAGAAUUUGCCGCUCUCAUGACCUCUAAGUUCAAGAUGUCUUUGAUGGGAGAGUUGAAGUUCUUCCUUGGUUUUGACAUCAAACAAAGAAGAGAAGGAACCUUCAUCAACCAAGCCAAGUACACUCAAGACAUGCUAAAAAUAUUCAAGCUAAGUGAUGUCAAGCCGGCUUCUACUCCAAUGCCCACCAAGUGCCAACUUGACAUUGAUCCCAAUGGUAAAGCGGUGGAUCAAAAGGUAUAUCGCUCCAUGAUUGGUUCCUUGCUUUACCUUUGUGCAUCUAGACCAGAUAUCAUGUUGAGUGUGGGGAUGUGUGCACGGUUUCAAGCCGCACCGAAGGAAAGUCACUAUGUGGCGGUCAAGCGAAUCUUUCGAUAUUUGGCUCAUACCCCAAACUUUGGCUUAUGGUACCCAAGAGGGGCAAACUUCAAGCUUGAAGGAUUUACGGAUUCAGAUUGGGCGGGAGACAAAGUGGAUAGGAAGUCCACUUCCGAAGGGUGCCAGUUUCUUGGGUGCUCUUUGGUGAGUUGGUCUUCCAAAAAGCAAAGUUGUGUAUCUCUCUCGUCCAUCGAAGCGGAAUAUGUGGCGGCCGGUAGUUGUUGUGCACAACUUUUAUGGAUGAGGCAAACUUUAAAGGAAUAUUGUGUCAUUUGUGACAAAGUGCCUCUUUGGUGUGACAACGAAAGUGCCAUCAAGAUUUCUCUCAACCCGGUGCAACACUUCAAGAUGAAGCAUAUUGAGAUUCGGUAUCAUUUCAUCCAGGAUCACAUUAGGCGAGGGGAGAUCGAGCUCAAGUAUGUCAACACUCAUGAUAACCUUGUAGAUAUUUUCACGAAGCCCUUGGAUGAAGCAAGAUUUCGCGAGUUAAGGCAUGAGCUAAAUAUCAUUGAUUCGAGAAAUGUGACUUGAAACCUUGCACACCCCACCCCACUCAACUUGGUGUCUAGCUUAGAUGUAGGCAUGGACAUAGGGGGAGUGUUGUUCUCUCAAUGAACUCUCCCUCCCCCCAUUAUGCAUAAAAUGAUCAACUCUUUCACAUUAGCCAUUUUUGAUGGUACUUGUGCUUCAAAGACGAGUUUUGGUCAUGGGCCCAAGGAUAAUUCUUCGCGGUGCCAUACCAGUUGACUCAAACAUAGGUGGCUCCGGCCACCGCCCUCUCUUGAGAGAGGCUAGAGCUCGCUCUGCUUCAUGUGGUUGUUUUGUUAGAGUGGUUUCUGGUCCGUUGUUAGUGUGUGUGUUGCCUCGUUGGUCUUUUCUUUCUCUUGGCUUUGCUUUCCCGUCUUUUUGGAGCUGUAGCCGUUUGUCUAGAAGCUGUGCGGUUGCUGAGCGGUACUACCGCUGGUGGCGAGCGGUACUACCGCUCCCAGCGCGGUACUACCACUGUGAGGCGCGGGCAGGGGGUUAUAUUGGGGGCAGGGGGGAUUUCUUCUUCCCCAUACCCAUUCGCUCGCCCCCUCACUCUGUUCCUCUCUCUUCAGCAACCGGCGCCGCGAGAGGGCUCCGGCGGAUCUUCCUCUCUGGGGCGCUCCUCUCCAUUUCCUUCGGUGGAGUCGAUCCCCACCUUAUCCUCUUGCCAUGGAUGUCGGUAUUGCCCCCGCUUCCUGUUUCUUUUUGUCUAGAUUUCCAAUCUAGCAUCUUAGGGGCAAUAGCAGUUGCAUCUCUAGAUUUUUGGCCAGAUCUAGGCUUGACUAGGAUGGAGAAUGCUUCUAGACAGUUUGGAUUGGUGUUUGGUUGGAGUAUUUUUGAAUUUGGUAGGACGGUAGUGCCGGAUCUGACCACGGCAGUGGGAAACUGCUGUUUUCCCGUCUCGAGCGGUACUACCGCUCUCUCUAGAGCGGUACUACCGCUCCCGGGUCUCGGUACUACCGCCCUCUACCAAUUUCCAUCAUACUCCUACCUAUCAGUGAUCCUUUUGCUCGUGUUUUGUGGCUUAUGCUCGUUCUUGCUGGUUGUUUGCGUGUUCUUGUGUGUGGUUCCAGGUGAUGAGGUUCCUUAGCAUUAGGCUUGUCGUGUCAACCCCGGUCGUGCCACGUCCAAGCGCUACCGCACCGCCGAGCCUGCCGGAGGUUCUUCAAGUGCUCCACCUCCACCUCAACUCCAGAAGAAGCAUGGGGUCAAGCCAAAGCCAGGCAAAACCAUGCCAGAAAUGCCGCCCAAGGAGUUCUGGGCAAGGCGUCGCCGCAACCCGUAUGAGGAAGACCAAGAUCCCACUUUGGUCAAUCGUCCGUUCUGGAACAGGUUCCAGUUUUCCAUCUUCUUUGAUGUUCUCAAAGCCAAGAAGAACCUCUAUGUCAACGUGCACUCCAUCGACACCGACCAUAUGGAGAAAGAUCCUGAAUACUUUGGUGAAGCUCUUCAGAUGUGCACUCAACUGAACAUUCUUAGGAUCAUGCAAUUCAACAAGGAUUAUGAUGCUGAUAUUGUGGCCCAAUUCUAUGCCACGGUUCACCUUGGAACUGAUGAGGAUACGACACUGACUUGGAUGACCAAUGGAAAGUUGCUUUCAGUCAAGUGGAAAGCUUUCAUGGAGUUGAUUGGGGUGAAAGAUCUAGGUCUUGAGUCUUCUGUCGGCUUUCGCCCCCACCACCGCACCAACGCCACUCACAAGCAAGCUCUAUGGCCCUACUGCACUUUGAGGAUCAACCCUGAGACGCAGAAGGAAACCUAUGAGCUGCCUGCCUAUCUGGAUAUCCUUCACCAUAUCUUCAGAGAGACUCUUUUCCCUCGUAUCGGGAAUCUGGACCAGGUUCACUCCUAUCUUGUGGACAUGCUUCUCUUCUGCCAGCGUGAGAAGGGAUAGAACACCCAAGAGUCCCUGGAUAUCUCUCAUGUUAUGUGGUCGGAGCUGUUAUCUGCUAUCUCCGAGCGAAAGUGCCCAAUUUAUGGUCCGUUCAUCAUGCUUCUCAUUGAGAAGGCCUGGGAUCGUGUCUAUCCCCAGGUGUUACUGGAGACUGGAGAGUUGGUCUCUCACGAUGUCAAGCGUCUGAGGAAGAAGGAUAACUGGGGCACUCAGACCCCUAGGACUGGAGUUCCUUCGUCUGCUACUGCCAUGGAGACCGAGGAGGAGACUGGGGCUGAGGCUGAGGAUGAUGAUGAUGACUACGUGCCUUCUGAGGCAGAGCCCUCUUGGGCAAAGAAGCUCAAGCACAAGAUGAAGAAGUUGUUCUGCAUGGAGUCUCAUGGUCAGUACAUGACUCAUGUGGCUGAGAAGAAGGCCCGAGGUGGCCACAAGGAGCUCAUGCGUCAGUUGGGUACUACAGUUAUCAGUGGAUCUGAGGACCAGCUUACCGAGGAGGAGGAGUGGAUUCAGCAGCACUGCCCGUGGACCGAUUCUGAUGCCGAGCACUUCCAGACUGACGAUGGUGGCGCAGAUGAUCCCGCUGAGCUCUGAUGUGUGUGUCCUUCCUUUGCUAUCACCUGGAGCCGUAGCAACACUCCCUCUCCUUUUUGGUGUCUCGAUGCCAAAGUGGGAGAGAGUUUAGGGAUUUGUGCUUUGUGUCUUCCAUCUUCUGUGUUUGUGUUUUCCUCGCUAUUUGCUUUGUUUGGUUUGUGUCAGUGAGACCUAAGUACCAGCCAUAUGGUGUGAGACAUAUGCUACCUUAUCUUUCCAGUAUCAUUAUCUAUGUCACCAUCUAGCGUAUGAGUUGCAUGCUUAUCCUGUUAAGUUAUCUUUGCUACUCUCAUUUACCCCGCUUAGGUGGUUGGUCUCUAAAAUGUAGGGGGAGCGUUGAUCCUAGUAUGUGUGCCGUGCAGUCCAAAGCACUUAUCUAGAUAGCACACAUCUAGGGGGAGCUCAUCUACAUUUUAGGACGUUGGGGUUUUUGCGCUUGUUCUAUAUCUCUCAUAUUGUGCAAAUCCCGUAUUGUCAUCAAUCCACCAAAAAGGGGGAGAUUGUAAGGGCAUAUUUAUCCCCAAGAUGUUUUGGUGAUUGAUGACAAUGCUUGUGCGGACUAAUCGUGUGUGUUAAGUUCUUUCAGAGAUUCAUCCUUUGGCACGAGACAAUUAUCUCCCCUCGGUGUUUUAUUCAAGACGGUGUAGCUCCUUCGUUUCGUUGUUGGUGGACUAGUUUCGUAGUUGUCACCGUACUAUCAAGAGGGGAUCCGCUUUGGUAAGGCUAGGGUGGAAUCAACACGUACACAUCCAUUUCACAACCGUCGUUUUCCUUCCGCUUCAUUGGAGCUGCCUUUUUCCCCUGAGUAUGCUUUGUCCUGCCCCAGCGGUAGUACCGCGGUCCACAGCGGUAGUACCGCCGAAGCACCCCAGCGGUAGUACCGCUCCCAGAGCGGUAGUACCGCUCCCAGAGCGGUAGUACCGCUUACCGCGGUCCACAGCGGUAGUACCGCCGAAGCACCCCAGCGGUAGUACCGCUCCCAGAGCGGUAGUACCGCUUGUGGUCUUCGGCCGUAGUACCGCAGUGGUUCCGGGCUACUGCCGCCUCGAUUCGAGAAUGAUGUUUUUCGUGUCGGGUUUUGCGGUACUAAGUGCGGAAGUAGUGGCGGUAGUACCGCUCCAAGCGGUAGUACCGUGCCUACCCCCACGGUAGUACCGCCCUGGGGUCAGGACCCUGUCAGCGCGGCAGUACCGCUGGGUAAGAGCGGUAGCACCGCCCUGCCCAAGCGGUAGUACCGAUCUGUGUGGGGCUGCUCAAUGGGAUAACAGUUGGAUUGGUUCCCCCGCUAUAUAAAGGUGUCUUCUUCCCCAAAGUUAACCUACCUCUUUCCCCCAAAGCUCCAUUGUUGUUCCAAGCUCCAUUUUCGCCUGAUCUCUCUCCCUAGCCAAUCAAACUUGUUGAUUUGCUCGGGAUUGGUUGAGAAGGCCUAGAUCUACACUUCCACCAAGAGAAAUUUGAUUCCCCCCACUUAUCCCUAGCUGAUCUUGUUACUCUUGGGUGUUGAGCACCCUAGACGGUUGAGGUCACCUCGAAGCCAUACUCCAUUGUGGUGAAGCUUCAUGGUGUUGUUGGGAGCCUCCAAGUGUUGUGGAGAUAGCCCCAAUCUUGUUUGUAAAGGUUCGGUCGCCGCCUUCAAGGGCACCAAUAGUGGAAUCACGGCAUCUCGCAUUGUGUGAGGGCGUGAGGAGAUUACGGUGGCCCUAGUGGCUUCUUGGGGAGCAUUGUGUCUCCACACCGCUUUAACGGAGACGUACUUCCCUUUAAAAGGAAGGAACUUCGGUAACACAUCCUCGUCUCCAUCGGCUCCACUCUUGGUUAUCUUGUGCCUCUACUUUUGCAAGCUUACUUGUGUUGUAUCUAUUACUUGCUAGUGUGCUAGUUGUCUUUGCAUCAUAUAGGUUGUCCACGUAGUUGCACAUCUACACAACCUAUUUCAUUGCAAGGUUUAAAUUGUUAAAGAAAAGUCUAAAAAUUGUUAGUUGCCUAUUCACCCCCCCCCCCUCUAGUCAACCAUAUCGAUCCUUUCAAAAGGUAUUAAAAAAUUGAAAGGGGAGUACAAGCCAGAAUUGGUAAAGUAAGCCCCACAUAAAUUCACGAAUCACUAUCACAAACAUAAGGAUCCAUGCUGAAUAAGGUAUACCAAUCAUAAAGAUCACAAUAUUCUCAUGUCACACCGAAUAAUAUGUCCUCUCAUCUUCAGAGUCAAGAGCAUGGUCAUUGUCGGGGCUCUCAUAAUAUUACUAGUCGCGGCACUCGUCAUCCCACUUGAGCGUCGUGAUCUUGAUCCUGGUGAAUUCCUCCCACAAGGCAUGCUCAUCAUUGGAGCCAAUCAAGAAACAAUACUACAAGCCAAGAACUUCCAGGACAGGGCAGCUCUCAAGGACAGCGGUCAAUUUUCUCACAGUGAGGUCAAUGUUUUCAAGUUCAAGGGAAUGCAGCUCUAGCAGAGGUGACUCUUUUAUAACAUUGGCGAGUUGUUUGCUGAAGACCCCGAAGCAUGAUACAAGCCGAAGGGUAGUUAGUGAGGGUGACCUACAAACACUAGGGCAAUAUUUUCAUAUGACUUAAUGUGGGGAUGAUGGUGUGAAGUGGA